RNAcentral lists this ribosomal RNA (503 nucleotides) under uncultured bacterium. Its description in RNAcentral is "partial 16S ribosomal RNA". It matches the Rfam family "Bacterial small subunit ribosomal RNA", at positions 30 to 523 of the family's 1533-position model. The record is from RNAcentral.
AUUGAACGCUGGCGGCAGGCUUAACACACGCAAGUCGAGCGGGGUGAUGGUGCUUGCACUAUCACAUAGCAGCGGACGGGUGAGUAAUGCUUAGGAAUCUGCCUAUUAGUGGGGGACAACAUCUCGAAAGGGAUGCUAAUACCGCAUACGUCCUACGGGAGAAAGCAGGGGAUCACUUGUGACCUUGCGCUAAUAGAUGAGCCUAAGUCGGAUUAGCUAGUUGGUGGGGUAAAGGCCUACCAAGGCGACGAUCUGUAGCGGGUCUGAGAGGAUGAUCCGCCACACUGGGACUGAGACACGGCCCAGACUCCUACGGGAGGCAGCAGUGGGGAAUAUUGGACAAUGGGGGGAACCCUGAUCCAGCCAUGCCGCGUGUGUGAAGAAGGCCUUAUGGUUGUAAAGCACUUUAAGCGAGGAGGAGGCUCUUUUGGUUAAUACCCAAGAUGAGUGGACGUUACUCGCAGAAUAAGCACCGGCUAACUCUGUGCCAGCAGCCGCCGUAA